RNAcentral lists this ribosomal RNA (383 nucleotides) under Escherichia coli. RNAcentral's name for it is "partial 23S ribosomal RNA". It matches the Rfam family "Bacterial large subunit ribosomal RNA", at positions 1506 to 1869 of the family's 2925-position model. Lineage: Bacteria; Pseudomonadati; Pseudomonadota; Gammaproteobacteria; Enterobacterales; Enterobacteriaceae. The record is from RNAcentral.
CCCGGUUUAAGCGUGUAGGCUGGUUUUCCAGGCAAAUCCGGAAAAUCAAGGCUGAGGCGUGAUGACGAGGCACUGCGGUGCUGAAGCAACAAAUGCCCUGCUUCCAGGAAAAGCCUCUAAGCAUCAGGUAACAUCAAAUCGUACCCCAAACCGACACAGGUGGUCAGGUAGAGAAUACCAAGGCGCUUGAGAGAACUCGGGUGAAGGAACUAGGCAAAAUGGUGCCGUAACUUCGGGAGAAGGCACGCUGAUAUGUAGGUGAAGUCCCUCGCGGAUGGAGCUGAAAUCAGUCGAAGAUACCAGCUGGCUGCAACUGUUUAUUAAAAACACAGCACUGUGCAAACACGAAAGUGGACGUAUACGGUGUGACGCCUGCCCGGUGC